RNAcentral lists this unclassified non-coding RNA (3288 nucleotides) under Hevea brasiliensis (rubber tree). Lineage: Eukaryota; Viridiplantae; Streptophyta; Magnoliopsida; Malpighiales; Euphorbiaceae. The record is from RNAcentral.
AAUCCUACGACACUGUCCUUUCUUGCUAGUUCUUACAAGGAAAGCGCCUGCGCAACAUGGAAUCUCUCAGUCUCUCUCCUUAGCAGUCCCGCGAAAAUCUUCUCAUUAUAUCCAUCUCUCUCUCUCUUUCUUUCCCUCUCUCAAAUCUGCUUCUAGGGUUUAGCAGUCACUAUCUUUGUUCCUAUUGUCCAAUUUUGUUUGGUCUGGUUUAUUAUACAGAGCAGAAUCGAGAAAUGAAGCAGAAGAGCGAGCAACUUCGCACUUCCAGGCUAAUUACCUACGUUCUAAUCGCACUCAUUGCCCUGCUCGGGCUGAUUUGUUUCUAUAAUGCAUCCUCCGUCGCUCCCGGACUCUCCAGAUCCAAUCGCUACUCUUUUAGCCAUGACGGCACCGACCCGGUUCUCGGCGGGUUUUCCGGAACCCGUGAUAUUGAUGACUUGUUUCAGGAGCAAGGCCCUCAAAGCAUUCCUAUAUGUGACUUAAAUUACUCGGAGUUGAUUCCUUGUUUGGAUAGAAGCCUUGUCUACCAAUUGAAAUUGAAGCCUAAUUUGACAUUGAUGGAGCACUAUGAACGGCAUUGUCCUCCUCCUGACCGCCGUUAUAAUUGUCUUAUUCCUCCCCCUAUUGGCUACAAGAUUCCUAUAAGAUGGCCCGAGAGUAGAGAUGAAGUGUGGAAGGUUAAUAUACCCCACACGCACCUUGCGCAAGAGAAGUCUGAUCAGAACUGGAUGGUGGUCAAUGGGGAGAAGAUAAAUUUUCCUGGUGGAGGAACCCAUUUCCACUAUGGGGCUGAUAAAUACAUUGUUGCUCUUGCCCGGGUAAACCGAUGUUAAUUUAUUGAUAUUACUUUUUAUUUGCUGAUUGAAAGAGAGAAAUGGAAUUGAUUUGAACAUGGGAAUUUGAAAUUAAAAAUGCCCCUUGACAAUUGACAAGCUAAAAGGUUGCAAUAGGAUUUAUGUUUUAUUUUCCAGUUCAAAGUGGUUUAUGUCUUACUUUUUUUCUUAUCAUUUUUUAAGCUCAUAUGUGAAUUAAAUAUUGUAUUUCAAUCUGCAUUGUUUAUUUUUUCACUCUUACCAAGGUUAUUCUUUAAAUUAUUUUUCAUAGAUGCUUAAAUUCCCAAAUGAUAAACUUCACAAUGGUGGGAAUGUCCGGAAUGUUCUUGAUGUUGGUUGUGGGGUUGCAAGCUUUGGAGCCUAUCUUCUUGCCCAUGACAUUAUAGCUAUGUCCAUUGCGCCUAAUGAUGUCCAUGAAAAUCAAAUACAAUUUGCUCUAGAGAGAGGGAUUCCAUCAACUCUUGGUGUCUUGGGAACGAAAAGACUUCCUUUUCCAAGCAGAUCAUUUGAACUGGCUCAUUGUUCAAGAUGUCGGAUUAACUGGCUCCAAAGAGACGGAAUUCUUUUAUUAGAACUUGACAGAUUACUGAGACCAGGAGGAUAUUUUGCAUACUCUUCUCCUGAAGCCUAUGCGCAUGAUCCAGAAAAUCGAAGGAUCUGGAAUGCUAUGCAUGAUCUUUUGAAAAGAAUGUGUUGGAGAGUGGUUGUGAGGAAAGACCAGACUGUUAUCUGGGCAAAGCCCACAAGUAAUAGCUGUUUCUUGAAAAGAGAACCUGGAACUCAACCCCCUUUGUGCAGUAUUGAUGAUGACCCAGAUGCAAGUUGGAAUGUACACAUGAAGGCAUGCAUCUCCCCGUACUCAUCAAAGAUGCACAAGGGAAGAGGAAGCGGACUAGUUCCUUGGCCACAGAGGCUUACUGAGGCACCUCCUCGUUUGGAAGAAAUUGGUGUCAGUGCUGAAGAAUUCCAUGAAGACACUGUAUGUUGUUAUAUUUUUAGCACUGCAGAAAAUAAUUAUGUAUAUUCAGUUCUAUCAUGCUCACCAUCUUCUUUUUAGUAUUUUCCUAUAUUAUCUGACAGAUUUAAGCCACUAAAAGAGUAAUGUGGUGCAGAGGAUAUGGCAAUUUAGAGUGAGUGAGUACUGGAAGCAGAUGAAAUCUAUCGUAAGGAAGAAUUACUUCAGAAAUGUCAUGGAUAUGAACUCAAACCUUGGGGGUUUUGGUGCUGCUCUCAAAGAUACAGAUGUAUGGGUGAUGAAUGUGUCUCCUGUCAACCAGUCUUCUAGAUUGAAGAUCAUUUAUGACCGUGGCUUAAUUGGAACUGUUCAUGAUUGGUGUGAAGCAUUUUCUACAUAUCCACGCACUUAUGAUCUUCUUCAUGCCUGGCAAAUAUUUACCAAGAUUGAGGAGUAUGAUUGUGGUUUAGAGGAUCUACUAAUUGAAAUGGACCGGAUACUAAGGCCUGAAGGGUUUGUCAUCAUAAGGGACAAACCCUCAAUUAUAAACUAUAUCCGCAAAUUUGUGACUGCCUUAAGGUGGGAUCACUGGAUAUCAGAAGUUGAACCAAGGAGUGAUACUCUCUCCUCAGGUGAAGAACAAGUUUUGAUUGUGAGAAAAAAGUUUUGGAGUGGGGAAGUUUCAACAAUGUGAAUAUGGCUCCGAGGUAUAUAUCCCUAUCUUAUUUCUCUUGUUAACAGACGCUUACUUCUUUUAACGCUAGUGUAGUUUUUUCUAUUUCACUUACAUUUAUUACAUUGGUUGAAACAACCUAAAGAAAAAACAUGAUAAGAGCAUAGUCUGAUUAGUAAUUUUUCAUUUUUUAAGCCUUAACAUUGAAUUAGAAGCUUUGGUUUAAACCAGAGCAAAAUUGCUUCCUUUUCUUAGUAGAUGAAGAGAACUACUGUUGAGGUUUAUUUUUCUGAAAGACAAAUUGUUUCUUUGAAGGGGCAGCUUGUUGAACUUUUGGAAUCCUGUGUGUCACAUGAUAGGGAAAGUCAGGACUCGUGCUCCAUUGCCAUAUUGAGAGCAGAUUCUUGUUUGUAAGGUUGAGAGUGAAGUAAGAUUUAUACCAUUGUUCGAUGGAAUGUGCAAAGCACAUACACGAUAUACAGCUUUAAAGGCUGCCUAUCCUGGGGAAAAUGAAGAAAAGAGGAGCUUCCAUUUCAAGUAUUUAUUAGGAGAUGGUUUUCUAUUUAUUGGGAUGUAAUUGUUUACACUAAUGUUAUCUCACAUCUAAUCUUGGAACUUAUGUUGCUUAUUUUUCAAAGAUACUCUGUUCUUGGAUUCUUUAUAUGGCAUUGAAAAGAAAAGAAAAGAAAAGUACCAUGAUCACUGCCAUCAUUUGUUCCAUUAAGGACGCUGAAGGACAUGAUUCACGAGUCAUGCAGGCUUCUUUUUAUUGGCUUUUUUUUUCAAUUGAAAUCUUGAAUCAUGCAGGCUUUGGUUCUUGAACUUUA